Molecule: ribosomal RNA, 520 nt
Filed under: uncultured Glomus
Lineage: Eukaryota; Fungi; Glomeromycota; Glomeromycetes; Glomerales; Glomeraceae
Description: SSU rRNA
Rfam family: Eukaryotic small subunit ribosomal RNA
Source: RNAcentral
AGCAGCCACGGUAAUUCCAGCUCCAAUAGCGUAUAUUAAAGUUGUUGCAGUUAAAAAAGCUCGUAGUUGAAUUUCGGGAUUAGUACGUUGGUCGUGCCUUCGGUACGUACUGGUGUUACUGAUUCCUACCUUCUGACGAACCAUCAUGUCAUUAAUUUGGUGUGGUGGGGAAUCAGGACUGUUACUUUGAAAAAAUUAGAGUGUUUAAAGCAGGCUCGCGCUUGAAUACAUUAGCAUGGAAUAAUGAAAUAGGACGUUGAUCCUAUUUUGUUGGUUUUCUAGGAUUGACGUAAUGAUUAAUAGGGAUAGUUGGGGGCGAUUAGUAUUCAAUUGUCAGAGGUGAAAUUCUUGGUAUUUAUUGAAGACUAACUACUGCGAAAGCAUUUGCCAAGGAUGUUUUCAUUAAUCAAGAACGAAAGUUAGGGGAUCGAAGACGAUCAGAUACCGUCGUAGUCUUAACCAUAAACUAUGCCGACUAGGGAUCGGAUGAUGUUAUUUUUAAUUGUACUCAUUCGGCGCC